GACGAACCGUGCGAACGUUAUUCGGAAUCACUGGGCUUAAAGCGCGUGUAGGCGGGAUGGUGCGUCGACUGCUGAAAUCCCCCGGCUUAACCGGGGAACGGGCAUCGAUACGGCCAUCCUGGAGGAACGUAGGGGGACCUGGAACUUCCGGUGGAGCGGUGAAAUGCGUUGAGAUCGGAAGGAACGCCCGUGGCGAAAGCGAGGUCCUGGACGUUUUCUGACGCUGAGACGCGAAAGCUAGGGGAGCGAACGGG
RNAcentral lists this ribosomal RNA (254 nucleotides) under uncultured bacterium. Its description in RNAcentral is "partial 16S ribosomal RNA". It matches the Rfam family "Bacterial small subunit ribosomal RNA", at positions 524 to 776 of the family's 1533-position model. The record is from RNAcentral.